Molecule: non-coding RNA, 229 nt
Organism: Pelobates cultripes (western spadefoot toad)
Lineage: Eukaryota; Metazoa; Chordata; Amphibia; Anura; Pelobatidae
Source: the annotation of a GenBank genome assembly
GUUUUUGGUUUUCUGCAUUAGACACGUGCAAUUAGUUUCGUUCCGAAUGUAAACCAGCUGUUCCCACCUCCUAUAACCUCCGAUCCAGUACCAGCACUUUAUUUAGUCUACCUCAAUACAAAAAGAAAGCAGCCCGAUCCUCCUUCUCCUACAGAGCGCCGCAAUUAUGGAACGACCUCCCGCACACUUUCAAAUCUUCCCCAAGCCUAAAGUCCUUUAAGAUUUCCCU